GCCUAGCCGUAAACAUAAACAGCCUGUCACCCCGCUGUUCGCCCGGGUACUACAAGCCCUAGCUUAAAACCCAAAGGACUUGGCGGUGCUUUAGACCCCCCUAGAGGAGCCUGUUCUAGAAUCGAUAAUCCCCGUUCCACCUCACCCUCUCUUGUUCUCCCCGCCUAUAUACCGCCGUCGUCAGCUUACCUUGUGAAAGAUGAAUAGUAAGCAAAAUUGGCAGAGCCCAAAACGUCAGGUCAAGGUGUAGCGUAUGAGAGGGAAAGUAAUGGGCUACAUUUACUGUCCCAGUAAACACGGAUCUUGCAGUGAAACGAGCAUCUGAAGGAGGAUUUAGCAGUAAGAGGGGACUAUGAGAGCCCCCCUGAAAACGGCCCUGAAGCGCGCACACACCGCCCGUCACUCUCCCCACCGGACCCCUGCACAUAAAUAAUACCUGCCCACCACAAAGGGGAGGCAAGUCGUAACAUGGUAAGCGUACCGGAAGGUGCAGCUUGGAAAAACC
This 505-nucleotide ribosomal RNA is filed under the name Gobiosoma bosc (naked goby). RNAcentral's name for it is "partial 12S ribosomal RNA". It matches the Rfam family "Bacterial small subunit ribosomal RNA", at positions 794 to 1528 of the family's 1533-position model. The record is from RNAcentral. Lineage: Eukaryota; Metazoa; Chordata; Actinopteri; Gobiiformes; Gobiidae.